AGAGUUUGAUCUUGGCUCAGGAUGAACGCUGGCGGCGCGCCUAACACAUGCAAGUCGAACGAGCGAGAGAGAGCUUGCUUUCUCGAGCGAGUGGCGAACGGGUGAGUAACGCGUGAGGAACCUGCCUCAAAGAGGGGGACAACAGUUGGAAACGACUGCUAAUACCGCAUAAGCCCACAGGUCGGCAUCGACCAGAGGGAAAAGGAGCAAUCCGCUUUGAGAUGGCCUCGCGUCCGAUUAGCUAGUUGGUGAGGUAACGGCCCACCAAGGCAACGAUCGGUAGCCGGACUGAGAGGUUGAACGGCCACAUUGGGACUGAGACACGGCCCAGACUCCUACGGGAGGCAGCAGUGGGGAAUAUUGCACAAUGGGGGAAACCCUGAUGCAGCGACGCCGCGUGGAGGAAGAAGGUCUUCGGAUUGUAAACUCCUGUUGUUGAGGAAGAUAAUGACGGUACUCAACAAGGAAGUGACGGCUAACUACGUGCCAGCAGCCGCGGUAAAACGUAGGUCACAAGCGUUGUCCGGAAUUACUGGGUGUAAAGGGAGCGCAGGCGGGAAGACAAGUUGGAAGUGAAAUCUAUGGGCUCAACCCAUAAACUGCUUUCAAAACUGUUUUUCUUGAGUAGUGCAGAGGUAGGCGGAAUUCCCGGUGUAGCGGUGGAAUGCGUAGAUAUCGGGAGGAACACCAGUGGCGAAGGCGGCCUACUGGGCACCAACUGACGCUGAGGCUCGAAAGUGUGGGUAGCAAACAGGAUUAGAUACCCUGGUAGUCCACACCGUAAACGAUGAUUACUAGGUGUUGGAGGAUUGACCCCUUCAGUGCCGCAGUUAACACAAUAAGUAAUCCACCUGGGGAGUACGACCGCAAGGUUGAAACUCAAAGGAAUUGACGGGGGCCCGCACAAGCAGUGGAGUAUGUGGUUUAAUUCGACGCAACGCGAAGAACCUUACCAAGUCUUGACAUCCUUCUGACCGGUACUUAAUCGUACCUUCUCUUCGGAGCAGGAGUGACAGGUGGUGCAUGGUUGUCGUCAGCUCGUGUCGUGAGAUGUUGGGUUAAGUCCCGCAACGAGCGCAACCCUUAUCUUUAGUAGCCAGCGGUUAAGCCGGGCACUCUAGAGAGACUGCCAGGGAUAACCUGGAGGAAGGCGGGGAUGACGUCAAAUCAUCAUGCCCCUUAUGACUUGGGCUACACACGUGCUACAAUGGCGUAAACAAAGGGAAGCAAAGCUGUGAAGCCGAGCAAAUCUCAAAAAUAACGUCUCAGUUCGGACUGUAGUCUGCAACCCGACUACACGAAGCUGGAAUCGCUAGUAAUCGCAGAUCAGAAUGCUGCGGUGAAUACGUUCCCGGGUCUUGCACACACCGCCCGUCA
RNAcentral lists this ribosomal RNA (1377 nucleotides) under uncultured bacterium. RNAcentral describes it as "bacterial SSU rRNA". It matches the Rfam family "Bacterial small subunit ribosomal RNA". The record is from RNAcentral.